UGGCGGGGUGGAGCAGUGGUAGCUCGUCGGGCUCAUAACCCGGAGGUCGUCGGUUCGAAUCCGACCCCCGCAACCA
This 76-nucleotide transfer RNA is filed under the name Chloroflexota bacterium. RNAcentral describes it as "Chloroflexi bacterium tRNA-Met". It matches the Rfam family "tRNA". Rfam says of the family: Transfer RNA (tRNA) molecules are approximately 80 nucleotides in length. Their secondary structure includes four short double-helical elements and three loops (D, anti-codon, and T loops). Lineage: Bacteria; Bacillati; Chloroflexota. The record is from RNAcentral.